Non-coding RNA from Echinostoma caproni, 46 nucleotides. Lineage: Eukaryota; Metazoa; Platyhelminthes; Trematoda; Plagiorchiida; Echinostomatidae. The record is from Rfam.
GUACUGCUGACGAGUGCCAAAAUAGGACGAAACAGCUGUCCAGUGC